AUAUUUUGUGAGCUCCUUCGCCUAGCGGAAACCUCCGCUUUUCGGCCGUAAUCCCGUGCUUUACCAACGCAUUCAAUGGAUUCCACCAUGAACCGGGAGCGGGCGAAGACAUGCAGCUUCCAUUUUCGGGGUACACAGUCACGUGCUGAGCAAAGAGGUAUAUAUCACACUCAUUCACAAGCGCAAGGUGCGGCAUCCGCCUGAACGGGGAGAGGAUUUCCCUAAAACAAAGAUAGGCGUGUCAGGAAACAAUGUGAAGUCACCCCUAUUUCGCUGU
This 277-nucleotide long non-coding RNA is filed under the name Nicotiana benthamiana. Its description in RNAcentral is "long non-coding RNA (NBEN_LNC007222)". Lineage: Eukaryota; Viridiplantae; Streptophyta; Magnoliopsida; Solanales; Solanaceae. The record is from RNAcentral.